Molecule: long non-coding RNA, 324 nt
Filed under: Salvia miltiorrhiza (redroot sage)
Lineage: Eukaryota; Viridiplantae; Streptophyta; Magnoliopsida; Lamiales; Lamiaceae
Description: long non-coding RNA (SMIL_LNC009820)
Source: RNAcentral
CUUUUGUACCUUAUUUCCUCUGUCGUACCGCCGAGCUACUUUCUUUUUCUCUCCGUCUCUGAUAUCACAAGUACGUUGUUGUCAACAUAUUCUUCUCCAAAUAUAUUUUAGUUCAAGAUCUACGAGAGUUAUGAGUUGCAUAUGCAGAUCUAAGAAAAAUUGAAACGAAUGGAAUGAAUUCAUAUCAUCUGUCAUGUCAACUAGCCAAGGCGGCCAUUAACACCACCCAUAAUAGGUGCAUGAGCUUCCAGAUUCUUUUUCAUUGCGGGAGAUCCCCAAUGGUAUCCCGUUAGUGAUGGCAUAUAGUUAGGAUUCAUUGGUGAA